This is an RNA transcript of Portunus trituberculatus (swimming crab), 2768 nucleotides long. It is a transcript of the gene named inactive hydroxysteroid dehydrogenase-like protein 1, with no coding region annotated. The transcript is spliced from 10 exons. NCBI's taxonomy places the organism in Eukaryota, Metazoa, Arthropoda, Malacostraca, Decapoda, Portunidae. The record is from RefSeq and is a predicted model, not a curated record.
ACUCUGCUGGCUGGCUUGAAGUGCCUUCACUUGAAUGGAUGCUUGGGUGGGAGCGAAGCAACAAGCAAUCGCCCUUUCAUUCAACUUUCUUGCUUCGAGUUCCGACUUUAGCGAUGUCAACAUAGACACGUCGGAACUCGGAACUAAGCGACCGUUUGUGUUUUGCCGUUACUCACCUGCUUACUCUCUACUGUCUCGCCGCCAACUUAGGCCUACACAGGCCAACACUGACUGACCUCCUGGGUGGCUGCACAAAUACCACUCAGGCUUUCAAGACCCUCAACCUCACCAGGACCUUCCUACAGAAAACAAAUCAACUGCACCGCAUAUAUUCUGAACGCCUCACCACCGCAUACUGCACCUUUGGGGCACUAGAGGCUGUGACACAGCCUGCACGGCCCCAACAAACCCUCAAGAAGAAGGAAGGAACUCGGAACUGACACCGACGAAAUUGUAUGAUUGAUUUCAGCAAAAAACAGAAAGACUGUCAGUCCCACAGAAAUGGCAGUGGCAGUGGACUCAGCCAGAUGGCUCAUGAGAGAUGCAUUGUUGAAACUCAAGAGAGUAGAAGAAGCACUGUCUUUGGUGGGUAUCUUUUACCUUGGGAAGAUCUCUGCAGCAGCAGCAUGGGAUCUCUUGAUUGGUGUGAGAACUCAUCUGUGGCCCAAGUUGUUCAAAAGAAAUCUAACAAAGGAGUAUGGGACAUGGGCAGUGAUCACCGGUGCUGAAGAUGGAAUGGGAAGAGGUUAUGGUGAUGUGCUAGCAGGAAUGGGCAUGAAUAUCCUCCUGGUAUCAGUAACAUAUGCAGAUUUGGAGGACUUCGCUCAUGAAAUCAGAAGUAAAUACAAUGUACAAGUGGAAGUUAUGGAUGUCAGCAUAUAUGCUGGUGAACUCAACUGUGAUGACAUUAGACGAAGGUUUGCUGGCAAGGAAAUUGGAAUUUUGGUCAAUAACAUAACAGGGAUGAAUUCUGACACAGCCAUAAUCUGUGGAGCAGCACGUACAGACCUAUGGCGACCAUUGGGUGUGGGUGUUGCUUAUGUGCCAGCCAUCACAAGCUUGGUGCUGCCAGCAAUGAUGGGAAGACACAAAGGUGCUGUGGUUAAUGUAUGCUCCCCCACGGCAAAUUUAAGUCUGUCAAGGUUUCAUGUCUACACAACAGCAAAGGCUUUCCUUACCAGUUAUUCUGAAGUUCUACGCCACUCACUCCAGCCCCAUGGCAUAGUAGUACAAACUGUGCUGCCUGCUGAGAUCCCUCAUAAAGUGACUCAUUAUACUGGGAUGUCAGUCCUCCAUGGUGCCUUCAAAUUUGUUACUCCCCAUCACUCUGUAUUUGCGGCACAUGCUCUUUCAACCUUAGGGUAUGCCCAUAUCACAUCUGGAUACUGGCUGUAUGGUGCUUUGGCCUGGAUAAUGGAGUGCUCACCCUGGUGGCUGGCAGCAAGCAUCAUUAUUACCAGAUUAUCUGUAUGAAAUUUACUUAUCAAUGAUAUGCAGCUAGAGACCACACCCUGAAGAGAGACAACAGUUUGACUGAGACAGCUGCACAGGAUCCUACUCCAAGAGAUCUAAACAAAGAAGAGGAAAACAACAGAAGACAACAGGAGUUCCCAAUGCCUGAACGAACUACUACUCCUCCAAAGAUUGCCACAUUGUGAAGACCUUAAGGCAUCAAAGACAGUAGUAUGCCUGUAGGUCUUCAGUUGCCUGCUGAAAGAGUUGAGGCAUUCCACCAGGGUUAGCAAACCCUGUGAUAGGUUUGUUUAUUAUUGCUGAGCUUAUUUAUUUAUUUAUUUUUUUUUUUUUUUUCUUCCAUGGGGUGAAAUGUGGUGUUUAUACAACUCAUUAAACUCGGUUAUUAUCUGCAUAUUGGUUCAGUGGUUUAGUUGUUGUUUCACUGUAUUUGUUCAAUAUUGUGUGUAAGCUUCAUGAAGCUUUAUGGAAGUUUUCUUCUUAGUGCUGGACCUACACUUGAGACAGGUAACUCUAGCUGCUCCACCUGUACAUAGCUUUGGUUUAUUACUAAGUAAAGCCUUGAAAAGAGGAAGAGUAUACUUUUUCCUUUAAUGUAUAUCACAUUAAUUACAUGGGACUGUUAGCUCUUAGCUAUUAGCUGGAGCUAAUUGUUACUACCAGCUUUCUUGAAAAACUUCUGUAUGUUGUAACAUUAAGGAUGGUAUGUUAAGGAGAGUCAAGGUGGAUAGGGUGCGCAUUGAAUGAGUCUGUAGGCUUAAGAAGAACUGUCAUACCAAGUAAUUAAAAUGAGAGGGGGAACUUUAUGAGAAGUGAUUUUGGAGUUCAGUGCAUGGUAGUAAUAUUAAUGUUAGCAUUAAGUGUACUACGUACAUGUAUAAGGCAGAAUACAGUAGGGAAGGAAAGUACAUAGUAAUGUGUGAAUUGGUACUUGGGGUAGUGGAUCUGAGUAGGGUUUGGGGAAGGACGCGACCUGGGAGUGAAGGAAUGGCACUCUCUCCUCGGAUCUUGGUGGGAUGUGGACGCAUGACAGCAAGCAAGGGUGAUGCUGGUGGAUAGAGGUGACCACUCCUCUCAGAUCAGGUGGGUAGUGUGUUUUUAUGGGAGAUUUGUGGAAGGUAUAUUCAUUGAGUGGAGGCUGUUAUAAUGUAGAGUUGAGUGGUGGAUUUAAGUGGGGAGAGAGUGUUAAGGGUGUUUCUCGUGUCUCUGUUGUUUGUUCAGUCCCGCUUCAAUUUCAUUGUCUUCAUUCUAAUGUAAUUUACUAUAGUUGAAAUAUAUGUAAAAUUGAUUUGGAA